GUUCUGGGCUUCUGGCUGCAUUCUAGGAAGAUCAUUCCUUAAAAGAAAUAGCCAUAUGGCUUAUAAGGCUGCAGUGCAAUGGUGCGAUCUCGGCUCACUGCGACCUCUGCCUCCCGGGUUCAAGUGAUUCUUCUGCCUCAGCCUCCCAAGUAGCUGGGAUUACAGUGUUCUUUCCUGUAUGAAGCCCAAGCUGUCCACUUGGAGAGACAUCUGGCCAGCCCCCCGUUGUUCCAGCCAUCCCCAGUUCAGGCACCAGACGUGGUGAAGAAGCCAUCCUAGAUGCCCAGCCCCAGCUACCAUCUGAUGCAACCACACUGCUCACCUCGAGUGAGAACUGCCUGCAGGAGCCUAGUAUUAUCCUCUCUCACAGAACCAUGGCAGGGAAUAAU
Molecule: non-coding RNA, 389 nt
Filed under: Pan troglodytes (chimpanzee)
Lineage: Eukaryota; Metazoa; Chordata; Mammalia; Primates; Hominidae
Source: RNAcentral